CGCGUAGGCGGUUUUGUAAGUCGGAUGUGAAAUCCCCGGGCUUAACCUGGGAACUGCAUUCGAUACUGCGUAACUAGAGUAUGGUAGAGGGAAGUGGAAUUCCGGGUGUAGCGGUGAAAUGCGUAGAUAUCCGGAGGAACACCAGUGGCGAAGGCGACUUCCUGGGCCAAUACUGACGCUGAGGUGCGAAAGCGUGGGGAGCAAACA
RNAcentral lists this ribosomal RNA (207 nucleotides) under uncultured bacterium. Its description in RNAcentral is "partial 16S ribosomal RNA". It matches the Rfam family "Bacterial small subunit ribosomal RNA", at positions 568 to 774 of the family's 1533-position model. The record is from RNAcentral.